Molecule: ribosomal RNA, 460 nt
Filed under: uncultured bacterium
Lineage: Bacteria
Description: partial 16S ribosomal RNA
Rfam family: Bacterial small subunit ribosomal RNA
Source: RNAcentral
CCUACGGGUGGCAGCAGUGAGGAAUAUUGGUCAAUGGGCUCACGUCUGAACCAGCCAAGUCGCGUGAGGGAUGACUGCCCUAUGGGUUGUAAACUUCUUUUGUCAGGGAGCAACGCCGGCUACGUGUAGCCGGACUGAGAGUACCUGAAGAAAAAGCAUCGGCUACCUCCGUGCCAGCAGCCGCGGUAAUACGGAGGAUGCGAGCGUUAUCCGGAUUCAUUGGGUUUAAAGGGUGCGUAGGCGGAAUGCCAAGUCAGCGGUAAAAUCGCGGGGCUCAACCUCGCUCCGCCGCUGAAACUGGCGGUCUUGAGUGCGCGAGAGGUAUGCGGAAUGCGUGGUGUAGCGGUGAAAUGCGUAGAUAUCACGAAGAACUCCGAUUGCGAAGGCAGCGUACCGGCGCCAGACUGACGCUGAGGCACGAAAGCGUGGGGAUCGAACAGGAUUAGAUACCCUAGUAGUC